CAGUAGCCACGGUAAUACGGAGGAUCCAAGCGUUAUCCGGAUUUAUUGGGUUUAAAGGGUGCGUAGGUGGCCUGUUAAGUCAGGGGUGAAAGACGGUAGCUUAACUAUCGCAGUGCCCUUGAUACUGAUGGGCUUGAAUGAACUAGAGGUAGGCGGAAUGUGACAAGUAGCGGUGAAAUGCAUAGAUAUGUCACAGAACACCAAUUGCGAAGGCAGCUUACUAUGGUUUUAUUGACACUGAGGCACGAAAGCGUGGGGAUCAAACAGGAUUAGAUACCCGCGUAGUCCCUGUCUCUUAUAC
RNAcentral lists this ribosomal RNA (301 nucleotides) under uncultured bacterium. RNAcentral's name for it is "partial 16S ribosomal RNA". It matches the Rfam family "Bacterial small subunit ribosomal RNA", at positions 509 to 807 of the family's 1533-position model. The record is from RNAcentral.